CAGAUCCACCAUCAACAUAUUGUUUUUCUUGGUGGUACAUGACAGACAUCCUCAAGUGCACUUGACGUUUGGGUCCGUAUGAUUAAUUAUUGCCAUAUUACUGCUUUGAGAAAAGAAUAACAAAUCUAAUCGAUGUUCACAGUUAAUGAGAAAAAACUGGUAAGUAAAUAGUAAAAUGAAGCUGAUCAUCAUUGCUUGUACCUAACAUUUCAGUUCAACAUCUAAAAAAAGUUUCAGUUCUAAAUUGUGCCGUACAUUUUACUUUAAUUGUACACGGUUGAUUCUUCUGACAUUACUUUGCAAGUACUGCAACUGAAGCGAGCUUUAACACACUUGAAGUAUUGUUAUGUCACUCAAGGUACCCUGAUCCAGAAAACAGGAGUAACCUAACUGUCAUACAUCAAAACUUCAUUGUUGAAGUUUCCAGCACACCAUGCUUCUAUACAAAUGUUCACUCAUUUCCUUCCUGAAUCAGAUCAGCGGAAAUAUCUGCAAUUAGUCUUUUUUUUCUUUUAUUGGACAGCUGUUUCUAUAGUUCGGUAUUUAGGUUGAAUAAAAUUUGGCUCAGCAAUUCACUAUUUGAGCUUGGUGUAAGCUUAGCAGAACCAACAAAAUGACUCCUUUAGCUUAGCGUCGUGGGUUAAUCAGACUUGGAAAUGUGAGCUUCAGUCUUGGGUUCAGUGCUCUUGCUACAUUAAGCCUAUCGGAUUAUUGGAUAGGCAAGCAACCAGUUUGCAAAAGUUCCCUUGUUCGAUCAAACUCUUAAGAGAUUAAGUGGAUGGAGCCAAGCAACUAAUUCACAGAAUGACAGAAGUGGAUGGUCUACCAACAACCAUCACUGUUGCAAAUUAAGUUAUUCAGCUUUCUACGUCAAACCUGCUUUAGUUAGGUUGAUCAGGGUAAGAUAACUACUGAACAGGACCAAGCAAUUUGUAAACACCCAAAGCUGUCUUAUAGGACAGCCAUGUUGAGUCUUCAAGGACCUGCAAUAAAUUUCAGGUUAGUGCAUUGUGUUUAACUUGGGCGUGGUCUCCAUAUAUGGCAAGCAAAGCAUCAUGCAGAGCACAUCAAGCAACAGUUCAGAGCCAUGUAUCUGCAAAUAUGUUAAGGCGCACCUAUGUCCACGGAUAUGCAGAUUGAUAAGGAUGAGUUCAACUUAAACUUGUCGCUCAGCAGCCAUAUCCUCCAAAGCUUCCAACAAUAUUUUCUUGCAGCUACUGUCCUCAGAAGUUCCACAGUGCUCAUGCGUUAGGUGGCCACCAGAAUGCGCAUAAGCUCCAGCGUAGCCUUGGGAAGAGGAAUCAAGAGACUUUUUCUAGCAGUAAGACAAGGGAAAGAUGAAAAAUGCUGGGAUGCUGAAGCUGCCAGCGAUGUUCCAGGCACUGCAAGGAUCAGGUGGUUCAACACUAUCUAGCAGCACAAUGAUCCAGAAAGUUCUUCAACAGGAAGUAGUCUAAUUGAGAUCUAGCAAAUGGGAUAAAUGAUAAUCAACUUGUCUCCGAAGCUAUAAUAUGUUAUCCCCUUUCUUCUUCCUUUCUAUCAUAGUUUGAAUCUCCACAGGCUACAUAUCUUGUUAACAAUGCCUGCAGUGUUUAUCAUCCACAAUGUCUUGUGAACUUUCAUGGACCCAACAUUUCACAUAAUUGAAGUGGACAAGAUCUCCAAGUUUUUAGCCUGCUUCUGGUGGUGACAGAUUCAACAAAUCUGUGCUUUGGAUACUCUUUGAAUAAAAUUAUUGAUUGUCAUAGUUGU
Long non-coding RNA from Panicum virgatum (switchgrass), 1752 nucleotides. RefSeq lists it as uncharacterized. The record is from RefSeq and is a predicted model, not a curated record. The transcript is spliced from 2 exons. Lineage: Eukaryota; Viridiplantae; Streptophyta; Magnoliopsida; Poales; Poaceae.